Molecule: non-coding RNA, 7467 nt
Organism: Macaca mulatta (Rhesus monkey)
Lineage: Eukaryota; Metazoa; Chordata; Mammalia; Primates; Cercopithecidae
Source: RefSeq, a predicted model, not a curated record
AUGGUUCUCCUACUGCUAGUGAUUCUCAUGAGAUGUUGCAUGGUCUAGGUAGAAAAAGACGUAUCUCUAACCAUGGCUGCCUUCAUGGGGUUUUUUUUAGGUGCUGUCAGUGGAUGAUGCUGUAACUAACAGUGAUAGUGAACAUGGACUUAGCUAAAAGAGAGGGAAAAGAUGGUGUGAGCCUUUACACUUUAGAGAGCUUCAGAUUUCAGUUAUCUAGGUAAGCGUUGAUGGUGCCUGUAAUACUGUGGUUACAAGAAUGUUGUUUUUAUAAACAGGCAUUCAGGUAAGCACAGUACUAAUAUAAAGGUGAGAAAUGAUGUGGCAUUUAUACACUAGAGACCCAAAUUUCAGAUAUCUAGGAAAUUGAUGAUGGUGAUCAUACCUGUAAUAGUUACCUGGUUUCGUAUAGUUUUGCAGGGAAGAAAUGAACUUGCUCCACUAAUAAGAAUAAGCGUGCGACUUUCUGUAUUCUUGCUUAGUGCUAAUUUGUACUUAACCCUAGUAGCAGUCGAGAAACCUGCAGGUAUCCAGGUAAGAUAUCACACUGUCUAUCACCUCACUAGUGACCACUGGAUUUUGGCAGGUAUUUCUUCAAAGGAGAGAGGUGUCUUUAUUAGGGUUUAACUUCACAUCUUUGAAACUAUCCAGGUAGCAUUGAUGAGUCACAAAAAGAAGUGAUCAAGGGUAUUUGCAGGUGUCCAGGUAGUAUAAGAGAUGUGUUAAACACAUUUUUCACAAUAUGCUUUUCAGGCUCCUUUCAUGAGAUUAUAGUGAGCUUAACAAUGGCCAUUAAUGGUGGACAUUAUGAGUGUCUGGUAAGUGAUGAGGUGUGCUUAAUGCACAGUGAAAACAUUUGACCUUCAUAUAAGAAGGUAAGUGAUCAAAGUGCCCCUAACACUUUUGCUUGCUUGUUUAUUUUGAAGAUACUGAGAUAAGAAACCAUAGUCCUUACCAAUGUUAGGAACCAUGAGUUCUUAGUUUUACAUAUUUUGGAAAAUUUAUCUUUAAUCCUGUGGAUACUGAGUCAUUGCCGUAUCCAGAUAAUUUUCAUGGUGUUCCUCACCACAGUAGUAACCAUCGGAUUUUUGCAGAUAUCCAGUCAAGAAAGAAUGGUUUCAUCUGGCAACAUUGUUGACCUGGAGUACUACAAAUGUCCAGCUAGAGUGUAUAUGUCCCAUAAUGAUGGAAGUGACAAAAGUUAUUGGCAAGCAUCAUGCUGUAAAAAGUGUCUUUUCACACAUAUUUCGAAAUGUGUUUUUCAAAUUCCUGUCAAGAGAUGGUGGUGAACCUAACAAUGGCUAUUAACAUGGUAGGUGUUGAUGUGGGUCUUUCACACUACAGAACAUCUAAUCUUCACAUACCUAGGUCAGUGAUGAUGCUGUCCCUAGUACUAGUAUUACCAUGUUUUUAUUUUCAGCUAUCAGGCAAUGGCUUUACUAGUAUAGAAGUAAGAACUAAUGCGACUUUUAUAUGGUAGAGACCUUCCUAUUUUCAGAUAUACAGGUAAUUAAUGAUGGUGUUGACAACUCUGAUACUAAUCUUAUUUUUUGGCUGGUUUGCAUAGAAGAAAUUAAUUUUGUCUAACAGUACAAAUAAGCAUGAGUGAUUUUACUGUAUUCUUAUGUAGAGCUAACGUGUAUUUAAUAAUCAUAGUGUUAGAUGGACCUGUAGGUAUCCAGCUAAUUUAUCAUAUUUUUCAUCACCACAGAAUGACCAUGGGAUUUCUGCAGGUAUCCAUUUAAGAGAGGGAAGUGUCUCUUACUAGAUUUUGACACUGGAGUUCUGCAAGUGUUCAAGUAAUGUUGAUGGAUCCCAAAAUGACAGAAAUGACCAGGGGAAUGUGCAGGUGACCAGGUAUAAUCGGAUGUAUAUCAAAUAUAACAUUUUUCAUAAUGUGUGUUUCAGGAUUCUGUCAGGAGAUUAUGGUGAGCCCAAUAAUGGUAGUUGAUGUGGGACUGCUGGAAUAUAGGUAACUGAUGUGGUAAGUUUAAAUCCCAGCACAUCUACUUGAUUUUCUGUAUCUAGGUAAGUGAUUAAUGAUGUCCCAAAUACUCGUUACUGUGUUUGUUUCUUUUUUCUUUAUGUAUUCAGUGAUGAAAAGUUCUUACUAGUAAUAGAAUCCAUGAGUUCUUUCUUUUCACAUUUUAGGGGAAAUUUGUAUAACUUUGUGAGUAUUGAGGGAUUGUCACAGUAAUUCUCAUUGUGCUUCCCACCACAUUCGUAACCAUGGAAUCUUUGCAGUUAUCCAAUCAAGAAAUUAUGGUCUUUUCUAAAAUGGUGUUUACCUUGGUGUACUACAAAUAUUCAAGUAGAGUUGAUGCAUCCAGUAAUACUGGAAGUAACUAAGGUUAGUUGACAGCAUCCUCAUAGGAAAUAAAUUGUGUCCUUUAACAUGUAUUUUCUAAAGUUUUUUUCAGGUUCCUGUCAAGAGAGCACGGGGAACCUAAGAUGGUGGUUAACAUGGGACAUUGCUGGUGUCCAGAUGUAACCCCGGGACUUCUGGAAGUGUGCAGCGAACAGAAUGUGUUUUCACUAACAGCAGUGCAGACCGUAGAAUGCUACAAGUAAUCAGGUUUCAGUCCAGAGAACAUGAUGAACUUCAAAAUGGUCAUUCACAGGAAUUCACCUGGUGCCCAGAUGCCUGUCCAGAGAUCGCAAAGGACCUAAAUAUGUUUGUUAACCGGAGACGUUGCUGGUAUCCAGGUAUGCCUUCAAGAGAUGAAGGAGUUUCUUACCUUGGUUUCAAGUUGGAAUUGAGCAGGCAUCCAGGUAGCAUCGAUGGGUCCUGAAAUGAUACAAGUGACCAAAGGACUUUGCAGGUGUCCAAGUAUCUGAAGAUAUUUACCAAACGCAUUUUCCACAAUAUCAAAUGCAUUUUCCACAAUGUGUUUUUCUGAUCCAAGUCAAGGCAUCAUAGUGAGUCUGUGAAAGGUAAUCAAGGAGUUUGUAAAAGGUGGGACAUUGCUGGCAUCAAGGCAAAGCUGGUGUGGGACAAAAGCACAGCACAGCACAUCUGAUCAUCAUGUGCAUAGGUUCCUGUGAAGUAAAUGUUACGAAACUAAAAGUGGAUGUCAGUAAAGACAUUUCUGGUCUAAGUAAGUGAUGAUGCACACCCUAACCCAUCAUGAAUCAUUUGAUUUUUUUAUAUCUAGGUAAGUUUUACCAUUUGAUUUUUGGUACGUAUUCAGGCAAAACAUGAUAGUAUUUUGUUAAUUCUAGCAGGCAUGUUAUCACAGAGUUUGUAUUUCACAGAAAAUUUACAUUUAACCAGGUGAGUGGUCAAUGAUUUCCAUGUGUCCUUGAAAAUAUCUUGUAGCUCCCCAUCAGAGUAGCAACCAUGGGAUAUUAUCAGCUGUGCAGUUAUCACCACCCAUGAUGGUGUCUCUAACAAAGAUGUGUUGACCUUGAAUUAAAGCAAGUGUCUAGGUAGAGUUGAUGUGUAUUCCAAAAUAAUGGAAGCAUUACAAGGUUGUAGGCAAGUACCCGGGGAGAACAAGUUGUGACCUGAAGCACAUUUGUCUUAUAUGAUUUUUCAGGUUCUUGUCAAAACUAUGAGGUGAGUCACAUAAUGCUCAGUAAUGAAACAUUGCUUGUAAACAGGUAGUGAUAACUGUUUGCUUCCUGUAAUGGGGGUAAUUACACAAUGCAGAGCAUUGGAUUUUCUAGGUAUGUAAAAGGGAUCCCUGAUGCUUAAGCUACUGUGUAUUUUGUAGGUAAUCCAUUCAGGUUUUUGGGCUAGUUUAUAGAGACCAGGUAAGGUUGUAUUAACAUGUAAAACACCUUGGUAUUUUCGGAUAUCAACUUUAUUAAUGUUUUACACAAUAUUAACUUAAACUUGUUUUUCACAUUUAUGCAGUUAAAAAUAAAUACGCCUCUAGUAAUACAAAUAAUCAAGAGAAUUUAUUGCAUGUCUUGACAGAUAAUGAGUAAUGAACACUUACAGGGCUACACAAAUCCACAGACAUCUAGAUUAACCGUAUUGUGCAACAUCAUGAAAUUAACAACAGGAAUUAUGCAGGGAUCUAAUCAAGAAAGUACAAGGAUUCUUAAAAGGAGUUUUCCUCAAAUUUCUACAAGUAUCGAGGUACAUUUGAUGAAUACAAAAAUAAUAAAAGUGACCAGAAAAGAUUGGAGGUAUAUAGGUAGAAUGAUAUGUGUACCAGUCACACUAUUCACAAUAUAUAUUUCAGAUUUACAUUAACAUAUCAUAAUAAGCCUAUCAAAACUAGGUAACAUGGGACAUUAUUGGCGGAGGUAAGUGCUGAUGCGGGCCUAAACUACAGCGUCACAGAGACUAGUUCACUGAUGACGUGUCCCUACACGUCUUCCUGCCGUGACUUUUUCCCAGGUAUCAGGUGAGAAGUGAUUGAGUCCUAACCAGUCUCAGAUAGGCUGGGUUUUCUAAUUUUCUCUUUCACUGAAAGUGUAUGCUGACCCUGUGAGUGUUGAGGGAUUGCAGGUAACCAGGUAUUUAUCACUGUAUUUCCCACCCCCACUGCUGCCCCUAGGAUUUGUGGAGGUGUCCAGUUGUGAAAUGGUAGUUUUCAGCUGUCAGGGUCAACGUAGGAUUACUGCAAGUAUCCAGGUCUAGUGGUGUGUCCCAUAAAGCUGGAAGAACUCAAGGUUCUUUGCUGGAGUCCUGGUGGAAAACCCCGUGUCCUUCUACAUAUAUAUCUUCGUGCCUAUUUCAGCCCCCUACCAUGACAUCACAAUGAAUAUGGUAACAGGUCUGGAGGUCAGCACUGAUGAGGGCUAAAAGCAACGCAUGGGCCACGUGAGGUUCAGCUGUCUAGGAAAGUGAUGAUGGGUCCAUCCUUCCUGUUGUUCCCAAGAUUUCGCUUCAGUUGUCCUAGGAAAAAAUGGUGUCCUGUAGAGAGAAAUGCUGUCUUCUGGGAUCAUGGCCCUGAGCUUGGGGACACUGUCAGCAUACAGGUUCCUGGGAGGAAAUCCUGACUAACCAGAGACAUGAUCAGGGGACAUGUCUGCUAUCUGGGUAAGUGAUGGUGUGUGCUGUAAACUCACCACAGACCAUUUGAUCUUAACGUAUUAGGUCAGUGAGGUUCCUUUCCCUGAACGGUUUACCAUGUGAUGGGUUUAUGGGUAUUCCGGUAAGAAAGGGUAGUAGCUCCCCAUUCUCCUUGCCAUGUGAUCCUGUUGUUUUCAGUCCAGGAGAGAACGUAUGAGGUAUGUACCCUGUGAGUGCUGAUUGAUUGACACGUGCCAGGGAAUUCACAUGGCACUGUGCAUCACAGGAGUAACCGCGGUGGAUUUGCAGAGAAGCGGGCCAGAGAAAAUGGCAUGUCCUACAAUGGCCUAGACCUUGGAGGGCUUGCAAACAUCCAGGUACAAUUUUGGCUUCCACAAUGAUGACUGUGUCCAUAGACACAUUGGUCACAUAUGUGGUUUUAGGUUCCCUUGGAAAGGUCACAGGAAACCUCUUUGUGCUUGAGCAGAGGACUGUGCCUGUAUUUAGGUGGGUGACGGCAUGGGCCUAAGCAGGCCAUGGACUAUCCAAUCUUCCCAUACACUGAUAAAUACAGAUGACUUUCCGGCUCUUGUCCCUGUCCUGCCAUGGUUUCCUCAGCUCAUUUUCUAUUCUUUAUUUUCUGCAGUUAUUCAGUUAAGAAAUGAUGCUUUGCCAACCAAGACUGGUAAGCAUUAGUCCUUGCUGUGUUCAACUUUAGGAAAUGUGCCUUGAACCUGAGUCCAUGUUGACUGAGGGAGAUGUGGGUGUCCAGGUAAAUUAUCCUACUCUACCAGAUCACAGGAUGGAAUGAUAGUUCUGACACAUCCUCAGUCUGGAGUCAGUAAUGGUGCCAGCAGUGGGGUGGAAGUUGGAGUUCUGCCGGGAUCUAGGUAAGGUCGACGGUUCCCAGAUGACGGCAGUGACCAGGCUGUGUAGUGCGUGUCUUUUUCAUCUUUCAGGUACACCAAGUGGCAUCCCGGAAAAUACCUGUCAGAUGCAUUUCUUCUGCUGCUGCUAGACAUGAAAUCAAGGCCGGCCUGAGAAUGACCAUUCAGGGGCCCUGGAUUGUAACCAGGGGUCCCGUAAAGUUCUCUUCCUGUAGAGAGGUAAGAGAUGUUGUGACAUUAUCUCAUGAAAGACAUUCUGUGUUUCCUGCAUGUAGGUAAAAUUAAUGGUGGUUUUGAGUCUGGUAGAGUAACCUUGUGUUUGGCAUAUGUGUCAUUGGGAAAAAAUAAGUAGUGAUUCCCAAUGCCAGUAAGCAUGAGAUUUUACUGUUUGCUUAUUCAGAGGUAAGGCUUUUGUUUGUUUGUUUGUUUGUUUUUUGCAAAUUUCACACUCCACACAAUAGACAGAUAUGCCAAUGCCCAGGUAGUUGAUCAUAUUGUCUGUCACGCCGAUGUGGACUGUGGUGUUUCUGCAGGUAUCCCUUGUAGGCUGUAGCCUCAGAGUUCUUGUGUUAUCCAGGUAACUUUGAUGAGUCGUGAAAUGAUGCCAGUGAACAAGAGUAUUUGUGAUUGUCCUUGUAGCACAGGUUGUGGAUCAACCACAAUAUGUCUUUCAGAUGUGUGUCAGGGCAUCACAGCAGGCCUUUCAAUCCUAGGUAAUGUGGGCAUUGCUGGGUGAGGUAAGUGCCACAGCCUGCAGCGUGGAACUGUCAUAGAGACCUAGUUCAGUAAUGAUGUAUCCCUACAUGUCUUCCCAUCGUGAUUUCUUUCCCAGGUAUUCGGGAGAGAAAUGAUUGAGUCCUUACCAAUCCCAGAUAGGCCGAGUUUUCCCAUUUUCUGUUUCACCAAAAGUAUAUGCGGAACCCUGAGAGUGUUGAGGGAUUGCAGGUAACCAACCAGGUAUCUAUCACUGUGUUCCCCACCCCUGUUCUGCCAAUAGGAUUUCUCCCAGUGUCCAGUCAAGAAAUAAUGGAUUUCUGCAUAGAUUUUGACCCUGUAUCACUGAAAUUGUGCAGAUAGAUUUGAUAUGUCCCAUAAUUGUGGAAGUGGCUAAGUUUAUCUGCUGUUUUUCUGCAUACCUGCAUAUCCCUCCCUCACUAUAAGACUAAACACAUUAUAACUAAACUCUAAAAAUAAUGACUAAUGCUUACCAGCAUUGGUUGGGAAAAUAUAAUUCCUUAACUAAAUACCUGAACAAAAUAUGGCAACACAAAAAUUGGGAAAACCUACAUAUCUGUAGAUCACAGUGGUAUUGAUCUUGCAUUAUUACAAGUAUCCAGGUAGAGUUAUGUGUUCCGUAAUGAUGGAGUGACCAAGGUUAUUUUCAGAUGUCGUCUUGGUGGAAAUGUUUGUGUCCUUUAGCACAUAUUUCACAAUGUGUAUUUCAGGUUUCUGUAGUGAGACCCUGAUAAACCUAACAAUGGUUGGUACGGCAGACAUUUCUGUUAUGCAGGCAAGUGAUGAUGUGUUCUUUAACCACAUCAUAGACCAUCAGAUCUUCAUAUAUCUUUUUUUUUUUUUUUUUUUUUUUUUUUGACAGAGUCUUGCUUUGUC